UACGUAGGGUGCGAGCGUUGUCCGGAAUUAUUGGGCGUAAAGAGCUCGUAGGCGGUUUGUUGCGUCUAUCGUGAAAACCUGCAGCUUAACUGUGGGCUUGCGGUGGAUACGGGCAGACUUGAGUUCGGUAGGGGAGACUGGAAUUCCUGGUGUAGCGGUGAAAUGCGCAGAUAUCAGGAGGAACACCAAUGGCGAAGGCAGCUCGCUGGGACGGUACUGACGCUGAGACGCGAAAGCGUGGGGAGCAAACAGG
This 253-nucleotide ribosomal RNA is filed under the name uncultured bacterium. Its description in RNAcentral is "partial 16S ribosomal RNA". It matches the Rfam family "Bacterial small subunit ribosomal RNA", at positions 524 to 776 of the family's 1533-position model. The record is from RNAcentral.